This 549-nucleotide ribosomal RNA is filed under the name Potamopyrgus antipodarum. Its description in RNAcentral is "partial 16S ribosomal RNA". It matches the Rfam family "Bacterial large subunit ribosomal RNA", at positions 1801 to 2620 of the family's 2925-position model. Lineage: Eukaryota; Metazoa; Mollusca; Gastropoda; Littorinimorpha; Tateidae. The record is from RNAcentral.
UGUUUAUCAAAAACAUCGCUCUUUGGAAUUAAUACAUAAAGAGUCGAGCCUGCCCAGUGAUAUAUAUUUAACGGCCGCGGUACUCUGACCGUGCAAAGGUAGCAUAAUCAUUUGCCUUAUAAUUGAAGGCUAGUAUGAAUGGUUUGACGAAAACAAUACUGUCUCUCUCUAAUUUUAUAGAACUUGAUUUUUAGGUGAAGAAGCCUAAAUAAAAUUGAAAGACAAGAAGACCCUAUCGAGCUUAAAAAAAUUUUGUUAAAAUAAAAUGACUAUAAAAGAACAUCUGUACCAAAAAAUUUUAGUUGGGGCGACUAAGGAACAUACAAAGCUUCCAUCACAGUAAUAAAGGCUUUUUAGCUAUGAUCCAAAAUCUUUGAUUAAAAGAAUUAGUUACCGUAGGGAUAACAGCAUAAUCUUUUUUGAGAGUUCUUAUCGAAAAAAAGGUUUGUGACCUCGAUGUUGGACUAGAAUAUCCUAAAUGAUGCAGAAGUCUUUAAGGGUUGGUCUGUUCGACCACUAAUAUUCUACGUGAUCUGAGUUCAGACCGGA